This 22-nucleotide unclassified non-coding RNA is filed under the name Dictyostelium discoideum. The record is from RNAcentral. Lineage: Eukaryota; Evosea; Eumycetozoa; Dictyosteliales; Dictyosteliaceae.
UACCGUUGGAAAACAAUGCCGU